RNAcentral lists this long non-coding RNA (211 nucleotides) under Prunus dulcis (almond). RNAcentral's name for it is "sRNA ncRNA". The record is from RNAcentral. Lineage: Eukaryota; Viridiplantae; Streptophyta; Magnoliopsida; Rosales; Rosaceae.
AUGGCUUGGUUUUUUCAAGCUUUAUCUCUUUUUUAUUAUUCUAAGUUUGCAAUCUUAGUUGGGAUGCCUAUGCCAGAGUUUCUCCGAUCCUACCUGAUCGUUAGUGGAGACACGCCAUAUUGUCUUAAUUUUGAUAUUAGACCGCUCCGUUAUUGUAAUGGCCCUUUUGUGGCUAGUUUGUAUUGGCCUUUUGUGGCUAGUGGCUUUUUUG